RNAcentral lists this ribosomal RNA (403 nucleotides) under uncultured Salpingoecidae. RNAcentral describes it as "partial small subunit ribosomal RNA". It matches the Rfam family "Eukaryotic small subunit ribosomal RNA", at positions 30 to 432 of the family's 1831-position model. The record is from RNAcentral. Lineage: Eukaryota; Choanoflagellata; Craspedida; Salpingoecidae.
GCUUGUCUCAAAGAUUAAGCCAUGCAUGUCUCAGUAUAAGUUCCUGUACGGCGAAACUGCGAAUGGCUCAUUAAAACAGUUACAGUUUAUUUGAUGGUCGUUCCUUACAUGGAUAACUGUGGUAAUUCUAGAGCUAAUACAUGCGAAAAGACCCGACUUUGCGGAAGGGUUGCAUUUAUUAGAUACAAAACCAAUGCGGGGCAACCCGGUUGUUGGUGAUUCAUAAUAACUUUUGCGGAUCGCAUGGCCUUGAGCCGGCGACGAAUCAUUCAAAUUUCUGCCCUAUCAACUUUCGAUGGUACGGUAUUGGCCUACCAUGGUUACCACGGGUAACGGGGAAUUAGGGUUCGGUUCCGGAGAGGGGGCCUGAGAAAUGGCCACCACAUCCAAGGAAGGCAGCAGG